AUUGAACGCUGGCGGCAGGCCUAACACAUGCAAGUCGAGCGGCAGCGGAAAGUAGCUUGCUACUUUGCCGGCGAGCGGCGGACGGGUGAGUAAUGUCUGGGAAACUGCCUGACGGAGGGGGAUAACUACUGGAACCGGGAGCUAAUACAGAAUAACGUCGCAGGACCAACGCGGGGGAACUUCUGGCCUCUUGCCAUCAGAUGUGACCAGAUGGGAUUAGCUAGUAGGUGGGGUAACGGCUCACCUAGGCGACGAUCCCUAGCUGGUCUGAGAGGAUGACCAGCCACACUGGAACUGAGACACGGUCCAGACUCCUACGGGCGGCAGCAGUGGGGAAUAUUGCACAAUGGGCGCAAGCCUGAUGCAGCCAUGCCGCGUGUAUGAAGAAGGCCUUAGGGUUGUAAAGUACUUUCAGCGGGGAGGAAGGUGUUGAGGUUAAUAACCUCAGCAAUUGACGUUACCCGCAGAAGAAGCACCGGCUAACUCCGUGCCAGCCGCCGCCGUAA
Molecule: ribosomal RNA, 506 nt
Filed under: uncultured bacterium
Lineage: Bacteria
Description: partial 16S ribosomal RNA
Rfam family: Bacterial small subunit ribosomal RNA
Source: RNAcentral